GACGAACGCUGGCGGCGUGCUUAACACAUGCAAGUCGAACGGAAAGGCCCUGCUUUUGUGGGGUGCUCGAGUGGCGAACGGGUGAGUAACACGUGAGUAACCUGCCCUUGACUUUGGGAUAACUUCAGGAAACUGGGGCUAAUACCGGAUAGGAGCUCCUGCUGCAUGGUGGGGGUUGGAAAGUUUCGGCGGUUGGGGAUAGACUCGCGGCUUAUCAGCUUGUUGGUGGGGUAGUGGCUUACCAAGGCUUUGACGGGUAGCCGGCCUGAGAGGGUGACCGGCCACAUUGGGACUGAGAUACGGCCCAGACUCCUACGGGAGGCAGCAGUGGGGAAUAUUGCACAAUGGGCGGAAGCCUGAUGCAGCAACGCCGCGUGCGGGAUGACGGCCUUCGGGUUGUAAACCGCUUUCGCCUGUGAUGAAGCGUGAGUGACGGUAAUGGGUAAAGAAGCACCGGCUAACUACGUG
This 468-nucleotide ribosomal RNA is filed under the name uncultured bacterium. RNAcentral's name for it is "partial 16S ribosomal RNA". It matches the Rfam family "Bacterial small subunit ribosomal RNA", at positions 28 to 507 of the family's 1533-position model. The record is from RNAcentral.